Molecule: transfer RNA, 97 nt
Filed under: Ustulina deusta
Lineage: Eukaryota; Fungi; Ascomycota; Sordariomycetes; Xylariales; Xylariaceae
Description: Kretzschmaria deusta tRNA-Lys
Rfam family: tRNA
About the family: Transfer RNA (tRNA) molecules are approximately 80 nucleotides in length. Their secondary structure includes four short double-helical elements and three loops (D, anti-codon, and T loops).
Source: RNAcentral
GCCCUGGUAGCUCAAUUGGUUAGAGCGUCGGACUUUUAUCAGUUCCGACUUAUGAAGAGUGAUCCGAAGGCUGCGGGUUCGACCCCCGCCUGGGGCG